GACGAACGCUGGCGGCGUGCUUAACACAUGCAAGUCGAACGGAAAGGCCCUGCUUUUUUGGGGUGCUCGAGUUGCGAACGGGGGAGUAACACGUGAGUAACCUACCCUUGACUGUGAGUUAACUUCAUGAAACUGGGUCUAAUACCGGAUAGGAGCUCCUGCUUCUUGGUGGGGGUUCGAAGGUUUCGGCGGUUGGGGAUGGACUGGCGGCUUAUCAGCUUGUUGGUGGGGUAGUGGCUUACCAAGGCUUUGAGGGGUAGCCGGGCUGAGAGGGUGACCGGACAAAUUGGGACUGAGAUAAGGCACAGACUCCUACGGGAGGCGGCAGUGGGGAAUAUUGCACAAUGGGCGGAGGCCUGAUGCAGCAAAGCCGCGUGCGGGAUGACGGCAUUCGGGUUGUAAACCAAAUCCGCCUGUGACGAAGCGUGAGUGACGGUAAUGGGUAAAGAAGCACCGGCUAACUACGUG
Molecule: ribosomal RNA, 468 nt
Filed under: uncultured bacterium
Lineage: Bacteria
Description: partial 16S ribosomal RNA
Rfam family: Bacterial small subunit ribosomal RNA
Source: RNAcentral